UCUUGUGGCUGAUAUGCUUCAUCUAAAAUGUAGAUGACCUGAUCAGAAUAUUCUUUUAUAAAACAUAUAGCGAUUAUCUUGAUCUGGGAACUAUAAAAUAUCUAUUAAAACGAUUAAUACUCCUCUGGUUAACCUUCUGAUUAAGCGACAUCAAUAGUAAGAUACGUCCUAACAUAAGACAUGUGGCGUGUGUAAUGUAAAAAGCAAAACUAUCACCAAAUCCUUUUUUUUUAAGGUGCCAAAAUAUUUAAUACAUUUUUGCAACACAAAAGAAAAUGAAACACAAAAUCUCUUUUACAUGGGUGCCAUGUUCAUAAGGUAGGUGGCAUUGUGAUCAUUUCAACCUAAGAUAAGUCUCUGAAGUUUUGAAGAUAAAUUAAUCUACAGAUGUGGUGGUUAGUUCUCUUUACUUUUCAAAAACUAAAGUGACAACCUACUCCAGUUUUUCUACAUUUCGACUUCGAAUGACUAGUCCCAAUGUGUCGAUGGAGUGGCCUAAUUGGGACCUUUUUCACAAAACUAGACAUGAAACUGAUGACCGAUUAGGGUAACAAGAAUAAGAUAAGGCUUGUCUUUGUGUUUUCCUUUUGCGUGCCUACCCUUCAACAUGACGCCCGGAAACGAAUCAUUGUGGGGUUUAAAGUUUGCCUUUUACCAGACCGCACCUUUCCCGCGACUCUUAACAAUAUAAGCAAUCCGGGAAAGGACUGGAUUAAAAAACACACACAUCCUGCAUGUAAAGGAAAUGUAGACUUUUCCAGUCAAACUUUGGCUAGUUUCGCUCCACCAAAAAGGGGAGCAAAAACAAUUGGCUGUUUCAACACGUGCCCAUUCAAAAGUUAACCUUAAUUCUUUCACAAUCAUGUCUGUUGGUUGACAUGAGUGUAUCUCAUCACAAAAA
Long non-coding RNA from Hippocampus comes (tiger tail seahorse), 901 nucleotides. RefSeq lists it as uncharacterized. NCBI's taxonomy places the organism in Eukaryota, Metazoa, Chordata, Actinopteri, Syngnathiformes, Syngnathidae. The record is from RefSeq and is a predicted model, not a curated record. The transcript is spliced from 2 exons.